AUUUAUAUAGUUUAAAUAAAACAUUCCAUUUUCAUUGUAAAGUUAGAUCAAAUCUUAUAAAUA
RNAcentral lists this transfer RNA (63 nucleotides) under Nigidius sinicus. RNAcentral's name for it is "tRNA-Glu". Lineage: Eukaryota; Metazoa; Arthropoda; Insecta; Coleoptera; Lucanidae. The record is from RNAcentral.